GGUCCAAUGGUCUAGAGGUAUGAUUCUCGCCUUGGGUGCGAGAGGUCCCGGGUUCAAAUCCCGGUUGGACCU
Molecule: transfer RNA, 72 nt
Organism: Orchesella cincta
Lineage: Eukaryota; Metazoa; Arthropoda; Collembola; Entomobryomorpha; Orchesellidae
Rfam family: tRNA
About the family: Transfer RNA (tRNA) molecules are approximately 80 nucleotides in length. Their secondary structure includes four short double-helical elements and three loops (D, anti-codon, and T loops). Further hydrogen bonds mediate the characteristic L-shaped molecular structure. tRNAs have two regions of fundamental functional importance: the anti-codon, which is responsible for specific mRNA codon recognition, and the 3' end, to which the tRNAs corresponding amino acid is attached (by aminoacyl-tRNA synthetases). tRNAs cope with the degeneracy of the genetic code in two manners: having more than one tRNA (with a specific anti-codon) for a particular amino acid; and 'wobble' base-pairing, i.e. permitting non-standard base-pairing at the 3rd anti-codon position.
Source: Rfam